CCUACGGGGUGCAGCAGUGAGGAAUAUUGGUCAAUGGACGAGAGUCUGAACCAGCCAAGUAGCGUGAAGGAUGACUGCCCUAUGGGUUGUAAACUUCUUUUAUAUGGGAAUAAAAUGAUCCACGUGUGGGAUUUUGUAUGGACCAUAUGAAUAAGGAUCGGCUAACUCCGUGCCAGCAGCCGCGGUAAUACGGAGGAUCCGAGCGUUAUCCGGAUUUAUUGGGUUUAAAGGGAGCGUAGGUGGAUUGUUAAGUCAGUUGUGAAAGUUUGCGGCUCAACCGUAAAAUUGCAGUUGAAACUGGCAGUCUUGAGUACAGUAGAGGUGGGCGGAAUUCGUGGUGUAGCGGUGAAAUGCUUAGAUAUCACGAAGAACUCCGAUUGCGAAGGCAGUUCACUGGACUGCAACUGACACUGAGGCUCGAAAGUGUGGGUAUCAAACAGGAUUAGAUACCCGUGUAGUC
This 460-nucleotide ribosomal RNA is filed under the name uncultured bacterium. RNAcentral describes it as "partial 16S ribosomal RNA". It matches the Rfam family "Bacterial small subunit ribosomal RNA", at positions 338 to 795 of the family's 1533-position model. The record is from RNAcentral.